This 451-nucleotide ribosomal RNA is filed under the name uncultured bacterium. RNAcentral's name for it is "partial 16S ribosomal RNA". It matches the Rfam family "Bacterial small subunit ribosomal RNA", at positions 29 to 523 of the family's 1533-position model. The record is from RNAcentral.
AACGAACGCUGGCGGCAGGCUUAACACAUGCAAGUCGAACGGGUGUAGCAAUACAUCAGUGGCAGACGGGUGAGUAACACGUGGGAACCUUCCUAGGGGUACGGAACAACUCAGGGAAACUUGAGCUAAUGCCGUAUACGUCCGUGAGGAGAUAGAUUUAUCGCCCUUAGACGGGCCCGCGUCGGAUUAGCUAGUUGGUGGGGUAACGGCCUACCAAGGCGACGAUCCGUAGCUGAUCUUAGAGGAUGAUCAGCCACACUGGGACUGAGACACGGCCCAGACUCCUACGGGAGGCAGCAGUGGGGAAUCUUGGACAAUGGGCGCAAGCCUGAUCCAGCCAUGCCGCGUGAGUGAAGAAGGUCUUCGGAUUGUAAAGCUCUUUUGCCAGGGACGAUAAUGACGGUACCUGGAGAAUAAGCCCCGGCAAACUUCGUGCCAGCAGCCGCCGUAA